CUACGGGUCGCAGCAGUGGGGAAUAUUGGACAAUGGGCGAAAGCCUGAUCCAGCAAUACCGCGUGAAUGAUGAAGGCCUUAGGGUUGUAAAGUUCUUUUAGUUGGAAAGAUAAUGACGGUACCAACAGAAAAAGCCCCGGCUAACUCCGUGCCAGCAGCCGCGGUAAGACGGAGGGGGCUAGCGUUGUUCGGAAUUACUGGGCGUAAAGGGCGCGUAGGCGGAUUAGUAAGUUGGGAGUGAAAGCCCGGGGCUUAACCUCGGAACUGCUUUCAAAACUGCUAGUCUUGAGUGAAGUAGGGGAUGAUGGAAUUCCUAGUGUAGAGGUGAAAUUCUUAGAUAUUAGGAGGAACACCGGUGGCGAAGGCGGUCAUCUGGACUUCAACUGACGCUGAGGCGCGAAAGCGUGGGGAGCAAACAGGAUUAGAUACCCGGGUAGUC
RNAcentral lists this ribosomal RNA (439 nucleotides) under uncultured bacterium. RNAcentral's name for it is "partial 16S ribosomal RNA". It matches the Rfam family "Bacterial small subunit ribosomal RNA", at positions 339 to 795 of the family's 1533-position model. The record is from RNAcentral.